This 595-nucleotide ribosomal RNA is filed under the name uncultured Bacteroidota bacterium. Its description in RNAcentral is "bacterial SSU rRNA". It matches the Rfam family "Bacterial small subunit ribosomal RNA", at positions 122 to 715 of the family's 1533-position model. The record is from RNAcentral. Lineage: Bacteria; Pseudomonadati; Bacteroidota.
CAACCUACCUAUCAGAGGGGAAUAACCCGGCGAAAGUCGGACUAAUACCGCAUAAAACAGGGGCACCGCAUGGUGAUAUUUGUUAAAGAAAUUCGCUGAUAGAUGGGCAUGCGUUCCAUUAGGUAGUUGGUGAGGUAACGGCUCACCAAGCCGACGAUGGAUAGGGGAACUGAGAGGUUGGUCCCCCACACUGGUACUGAGACACGGACCAGACUCCUACGGGAGGCAGCAGUGAGGAAUAUUGGUCAAUGGGCGGGAGCCUGAACCAGCCAAGUCGCGUGAAGGAAGAAGGAUCUAUGGUUCGUAAACUUCUUUUGCAGGGGAAUAAAGUGCAGGACGUGUCCUGUUUUGUAUGUACCCUGAGAAUAAGGAUCGGCUAACUCCGUGCCAGCAGCCGCGGUAAUACGGAGGAUCCGAGCGUUAUCCGGAUUUAUUGGGUUUAAAGGGUGCGUAGGUGGUUUGAUAAGUCAGCGGUGGAAGUUUGCAGCUUAACUGUAAAAAUGCCGUUGAAACUGUCGGACUUGAGUGUAAAUGAGGUAGGCGGAAUGCGUGGUGUAGCGGUGAAAUGCAUAGAUAUCACGAAGAACUCCGAUUG